Cyprinus carpio carpio is the source of this 1238-nucleotide long non-coding RNA. Lineage: Eukaryota; Metazoa; Chordata; Actinopteri; Cypriniformes; Cyprinidae. The record is from Ensembl.
AUGGAAAUGAGGAAGAAGACUUGCUAGUGUAGCGUGAGGAAGGACGUAAUGGUCACCUAUUGAUUACGUAUAGGGGGCCAAAUCAGGAAGAGGAUAUUUAAAUGAACGGCUCUUGCUGCGUAAUGCGAUUGGUUGUAAUACCCGCCCUGUUGUUGGCAUUUUGUGGGCUCAACGUGCUGCAGGUCAGAGACUGGAGGUAACACGCUAACUAUUGGACUACUUCAAAACCGAAUAGAUAGGGAUUGGCCUGUAAUUCAUUUAGCGAUCGGACGCGUUGGCCGCUUAGUGGUGUCGGUGUACCAGUUGCAGUUCACUUAUGCAGGGGAAAAUCCUUGUAUCAUCGGCCAGGCAGGACGUGCCGGGAUUUCUAAACGAGCUGGGAUAUUGUGCACCAGGGUGAACCGUGUGUUUAGCGGUCCAGGCGGCUCUGUUGCUUUGGUUCAUUUUUUUUUUGUUUUAUUUAGUUUUUUUUGGCAGUUAUUUUGUUUGUUUUUUGUUGAUCUUCAAUUAAUUUUUAAUAAUUGUGAUUUUGAAUUUGUUAUUUGUUUAUAUUGUCUUCCCUUCUUUGUUUGGCUGAGCCCUAUUUGGGUUUGGUGCAUGUGUGUGUGACUAAGGGAGAUUUUUUUUCCCGUGUUGCAUUCAGUGAGUUCUUUUGUGUGUGUAUUUUUCUUUGGAAGUGUUAUGUAUGAGACAAUGGGAGUCUGUUUCUCCUGUUCUUGAAUACUGCUCCUCUGCAUUAAAUUUUUUGGGGAUUCCUGGUCAUUUUAGCCAGUAAUUCCCCUUCGUUUAUUUAGUUUUCUCCUUUUUUUUGUGGAUUAUUUGGAGUGGGUGUGUGGUAAUUGUAAUAACCUCUUGUGUGUUGUAUUUUCAUGCAGGAGCUGAGGGCCAUUCACAUGGGUGUCCUGGUGCUGUGGUAGUGGGUCUUUGUUCACCUGAGAGUGCUGUGUUUCACUUGUGUUGUGUGGUGGGGUGUAAGUAUGGAGUGAUUUGGUGCUUUUCCUUUAGGCCACUCUCAGCAGGGGUGUCCGAGGUGGAUGUCCUUCAGCCCUGCAUGGUUAUGUAUUUGUUUUUUUGUGUGUAUUUGAAUGGUGUGACUUAUUGAUACAUUCAACCUUUUUAUUGUGAGGUCAAUAACCUGUGCUGAACCAAGCAUUAAAUUCUCUGCUCUAUUAAAAGGGUUUUUUUUAUGGGCAAAUUUUGAAGUUUUAUUGAAUUAAUAAAAGUAAUUUUAUGGGGAA